GGAAACUGAGGAUAAUACCGGAUAGGCAAUUUUUCCUGUAAUGGUUUUUUGUUUAAAUGUUUUUUUCGCCUAAGGAUGGGUCUGCGGCCGAUUAGGUAGUUGGUUAGGUAAUGGCUUACCAAGCCGUUGAUCGGUACGGGUUGUGAGAGCAAGAGCCCGGAGAUGGAACCUGAGACAAGGUUCCAGGCCCUACGGGGUGCAGCAGGCGCGAAACCUCCGCAAUGUGAGAAAUCGCGACGGGGGGAUCCCAAGUGCCAUUCUUAACGGGAUGGCUUUUCAUUAGUGUAAAGAGCUUUUGGAAUAAGAGCUGGGCAAGACCGGUGCCAGCCGCCGCGGUAACACCGGCAGCUCUAGUGGUAACAAUUUUUAUUGGGCCUAAAGCGUCCGUAGCCGGUUUAAUAAGUCUCUGGUGAAAUCCUGUAGCUUAACUGUGGGAAUUGCUGGAGAUACUAUUAGACUUGAGACCGGGAGAGGUUAGAGGUACUCCCAGGGUAGAGGUGAAAUUCUGUAAUCCUGGGAGGACCGCCUGUUGCGAAGGCGUCUAACUGGAACGGUUCUGACGGUGAGGGACGAAAGUUAGGGGCGCGAACCGGAUUAGAUACCCGGGUAGUCCUAACUGUAAACGAUGCGGACUUGGUGUUGGGGUGGCUUUGAGCUGCUCCAGUGCCGAAGGGAAGCUGUUAAGUCC
Molecule: ribosomal RNA, 688 nt
Filed under: uncultured archaeon
Lineage: Archaea
Description: bacterial SSU rRNA
Rfam family: Archaeal small subunit ribosomal RNA
Source: RNAcentral